UGACCCUGACCCUGACCCUGACCCUAAACCUGACCCUAAAUCUGACCCUGACUCCUGACCCCUGACCCCUGACCCCUGACCCCCAACCCCAACCCCAACCCCUAACCCUAAGCCCCAGACCUCUGGAUGUGACCUUGUUUGGAAAUGGGGUCCUUGCAGAUGCAGUGAGCUCAGGUGAGAUCAUCCUGGAGCAGGGUGAGCUUGGUCCAGUGUGACUUGGGUGAGGUUAUCUUGGAAUAGGCUGAGUCCUGGUCCAGUGUGACUCCAGUGAGGUCAUCCUAGAGCAGGCUGAGCCUUGGUCCACUGUGACUCUGGUGAGCUCAUCCUAGAAUAGGCUGAGCCCUGGUCCAGUGUGACUCGGGUGAGCUCAUCCUGGAAUAGGCUGAGCCCUGGCCCAGUGUGACUCGGAUGAGCUCAUCCCAGAGUAGGCUGAUCUCUGGCCCAGUGUCUCGGGUGAGCUCACCUUAGAGCAGGCUGAGCCCUGGUCCAGUGUGACUUAGGUGAGGUAUUCUAGAGCAGG
This 520-nucleotide long non-coding RNA is filed under the name Homo sapiens (human). Its description in RNAcentral is "HSALNT0404704". The record is from RNAcentral. Lineage: Eukaryota; Metazoa; Chordata; Mammalia; Primates; Hominidae.